UGGCUCAGUUGGUAGAGCAUGGCUCUUACAAUGCUAGGGUUGUGGAUUCGAUUCCCAU
This 58-nucleotide transfer RNA is filed under the name Salmo salar (Atlantic salmon). It matches the Rfam family "tRNA", at positions 8 to 63 of the family's 71-position model. Rfam says of the family: Transfer RNA (tRNA) molecules are approximately 80 nucleotides in length. Their secondary structure includes four short double-helical elements and three loops (D, anti-codon, and T loops). Further hydrogen bonds mediate the characteristic L-shaped molecular structure. tRNAs have two regions of fundamental functional importance: the anti-codon, which is responsible for specific mRNA codon recognition, and the 3' end, to which the tRNAs corresponding amino acid is attached (by aminoacyl-tRNA synthetases). tRNAs cope with the degeneracy of the genetic code in two manners: having more than one tRNA (with a specific anti-codon) for a particular amino acid; and 'wobble' base-pairing, i.e. permitting non-standard base-pairing at the 3rd anti-codon position. RNAcentral also lists the same sequence under 1 other name. Lineage: Eukaryota; Metazoa; Chordata; Actinopteri; Salmoniformes; Salmonidae. The record is from Rfam by way of RNAcentral.